RNAcentral lists this ribosomal RNA (1605 nucleotides) under Triticum aestivum (bread wheat). RNAcentral's name for it is "partial small subunit ribosomal RNA". The record is from RNAcentral. Lineage: Eukaryota; Viridiplantae; Streptophyta; Magnoliopsida; Poales; Poaceae.
AUGGACUGCAACGGUUGCUACAUGUUGAAAUCAAGAAGGAGUAUUGGCGUCGCCGAUGUUGAGUUCGAUGAUCCAGCGGGCGGUAUCACCGAGUUACCUGACUCAAUAGACCUUGCACACAAACAGGAGGUCAGCUGUGUUUGGGAAGCUAAAGUCAGAGAUAAUAUGGAGUCGACGAGCCGAUCCUUUAUCUUGUCCCCCAAGGAUGAUGGCUUCUUUAUUUCCGGAAGUAGUAAGCUGCACGAAUCAACAUCAGCGGAGACAUCUGUGUCUGGGAAAAUGGCGGCAUCUCAGUCGACGAAAGACACAUCUGGAAACAAUGGAACAAGCAAGGUUUCUAGAACAGGUUCAGGGCUUGGCGCAGCCGGCAUGGCCGGGUAUGGGAGAGCAGUGGAAAUUCUAGACACACUAGGCUGCCUGAUGACAACCUUAAGCCCGGAUGGUGGUUUUAUUUCUAGGACGACCAAAGGGACUCAGAUAUCAAUUCUAGCUUUUGAGGUUGCUAACACAAUACUGAAAGGCGCAAGUGUUAUGCAAUCUCUCUCGGAAGACUCUGUCACAUACUUCAAACAGGUGGUGCUUCCUUCUGAAGGCGUGCAGAAUUUGAUUUCCAGUGACAUGGGCGAGUUGAUGCGGAUUGUAGCUAAUGACAGAAGGGAAGAGCUGAAAGUAUUUUCGCAAGAGAUUGUCAGGUUUGGCAACCGUUGUAAAAAUCCUCAAUGGCAUAAUCUGGACCGCUAUUUUGUAAAACUAGAAUCAGAAAGUGUACCCCAGAAGCAGCUGAAAGAAACAGCCACAAUGGAGAUGCAAAAGCUGAUGGCUCUUGUUCAACGUACAACUGAUUUAUAUCAUGAGUUACAUGCCUUGGAUAGAUUUGAGCAAGAUUACCGCUGUCAACUAAAGGGAAGUGGAAGUUCAAAUAAGAUUGAAAAAGGAGAUAACAUUCAAGUUGUGAAACUCGAGUUGAAGACCCAAAGAAGUUACGUGAAGAACUUGAAGAAAAGAUCUCUGUGGUCAAAGACAUUGGAACAAGUUGUUGAGAAGCUUGUUGACAUUGUGCAGUAUUUACAUGUUGAGAUCAAUGUCUCAUAUGGAACUUAUGAUGGAGGUGAACUGAGUUCUGCUGUGAACUGUCAGAGACUAGGACCUGCUGGACUUGCAUUGCACUAUGCAAACACUAUCAUACAGAUCUAUGGCAUUGUUUCUCGGUCAGGGUAUGUACCCGCAAAUUCAAGAGAUGCCCUUUACCAAGGAUUGCCACCAAGGGUCAGGUUGGCUCUACCAAAUAAAUUAAGAAUUUCCUCAAUGCCUCGGGAGCUCACUAUUGAUCAGAUAAGGGUAAUGAUGGAGAGAACUCUGAAAUGGCUUGUUCCGAUGGCCAUCAAUACCACCUGUGCCCGAGGCUUCUUGCGGUUUAGUGAAUGGGCAAAAUCAGGGACCGAGCGGGUUGGAAGAGGACCUGGUCGACCGGACGUGAUCGAGACGCUCUACCACGCCGACAAGGCAAGGACAGAGGCUUACAUACUCGAGUUGGUCGUGUGGCUUCACCACCUUGUCAGCCUGAGCAACCGGACGGCAAAUGUUAAAAAAGCCCAGUCCAUGUAA